This 1300-nucleotide ribosomal RNA is filed under the name Staphylococcus saprophyticus. RNAcentral describes it as "bacterial SSU rRNA". It matches the Rfam family "Bacterial small subunit ribosomal RNA", at positions 38 to 1324 of the family's 1533-position model. Lineage: Bacteria; Bacillati; Bacillota; Bacilli; Caryophanales; Staphylococcaceae. The record is from RNAcentral.
CCCUGCGCGGCUAACUGCAGUCGAGCGAACAGAUAGGAGCUUGCUCCUUUGACGUUAGCGGCGGACGGGUGAGUAACACGUGGGUAACCUACCUAUAAGACUGGGAUAACUUCGGGAAACCGGAGCUAAUACCGGAUAACAUUUGGAACCGCAUGGUUCUAAAGUGAAAGAUGGUUUUGCUAUCACUUAUAGAUGGACCCGCGCCGUAUUAGCUAGUUGGUAAGGUAACGGCUUACCAAGGCGACGAUACGUAGCCGACCUGAGAGGGUGAUCGGCCACACUGGAACUGAGACACGGUCCAGACUCCUACGGGAGGCAGCAGUAGGGAAUCUUCCGCAAUGGGCGAAAGCCUGACGGAGCAACGCCGCGUGAGUGAUGAAGGGUUUCGGCUCGUAAAACUCUGUUAUUAGGGAAGAACAAAUGUGUAAGUAACUGUGCACGUCUUGACGGUACCUAAUCAGAAAGCCACGGCUAACUACGUGCCAGCAGCCGCGGUAAUACGUAGGUGGCAAGCGUUAUCCGGAAUUAUUGGGCGUAAAGCGCGCGUAGGCGGUUUCUUAAGUCUGAUGUGAAAGCCCACGGCUCAACCGUGGAGGGUCAUUGGAAACUGGGAAACUUGAGUGCAGAAGAGGAAAGUGGAAUUCCAUGUGUAGCGGUGAAAUGCGCAGAGAUAUGGAGGAACACCAGUGGCGAAGGCGACUUUCUGGUCUGUAACUGACGCUGAUGUGCGAAAGCGUGGGGAUCAAACAGGAUUAGAUACCCUGGUAGUCCACGCCGUANACGAUGAGUGCUAAGUGUUAGGGGGUUUCCGCCCCUUAGUGCUGCAGCUAACGCAUUAAGCACUCCGCCUGGGGAGUACGACCGCAAGGUUGAAACUCAAAGGAAUUGACGGGGACCCGCACAAGCGGUGGAGCAUGUGGUUUAAUUCGAAAGCACGCGAAGAACCUUUACAAAUNCUGACAUCCCUUUGAAACUCUAGAGAUAGAGCCUUUCCCCUUCGGGGACAAAGUGACAGGUGGUGCAUGGUUGUCGUCAGCUCGUGUCGUGAGAUGUUGGGGUUAGUCCCGCACGAGCGCAACCUUUAAGCUUAGUGCCCAUCAUAAGUGGGCACUCUAGGUUGACGCCGGUGACAAACGGGAAGAAGGUGGGGAUGACGUCAAUCAUCAGGCCCCUAAGAAUGGGGCUACCCCGUGCUCAAUGGCAAUACAAGGGCGACUUAACCCGGGGCCUGGAAAUCCAAAAGUGUUUCCAUUCGGAGGUAAUCGCCCCUCCCCCCAUAAACGGAGACCUCUAAUCUAAA